Molecule: ribosomal RNA, 216 nt
Filed under: Glomeromycotina sp.
Lineage: Eukaryota; Fungi; Glomeromycota
Description: partial small subunit ribosomal RNA
Rfam family: Eukaryotic small subunit ribosomal RNA (bases 40-216)
Source: RNAcentral
GGGUCAGUAGGUUGGUCGUGCCACCGGUACGUACUGGUCUCACUGAUUCCUCCUUCCUGAAGAACCGUAAUGCCAUUAAUUUGGUAUUGCGGGGAAACAGGACUGUUACUUUGAAAAAAUUAGGGUGUUUAAAGCAAGCUAACGCUCGAAUACAUUAGCAUGGAAUAAUGAAAUAGGACGAUCGAUCCUAUUUUGUUGGUUUCUAGGAUUGACGUA